RNAcentral lists this long non-coding RNA (4870 nucleotides) under Homo sapiens (human). RNAcentral's name for it is "HSALNT0159656". The record is from RNAcentral. Lineage: Eukaryota; Metazoa; Chordata; Mammalia; Primates; Hominidae.
ACAUUCUUAUUCCCCUCUUAAAUGAGAUUGUGUAUAUGCUGGGUCUAGUAUGAUCUUGUCGCCCAUUGAUUUUUCAAUAUCUAUUCAUUUCCUUCCAUUGUCUUGAUUGUCACUUAUUCAAUGCAUGCUUCUGUAAAACAAUUAAACAAGUAGGCAUGUAUGCAACGGAUCAGUGGAGGAAUUAGGUUACUAUAACCAGAAGUUGUUUUGAUUGGUCCAUGAUUUUGACCACUACAAUAAUUCUUGUAGCACCAACAUACAGCAGAUGAAACCAAAGAGUACUUGCACAGCUGAGCUCAGCAAGUCAUACAGGAAUUCCCGGACUGCGCAGAGUGUGCUUCAACCAACGUUUUCAGAUGAGUUAUCCAUGUGCUUUCUUUUGAAAGUGCUUCUUUAUUGCCUAGUUCUCCUGGUCUUCGGAAGACUGCGAGCGAUCUGAAUGCAACACUCGGAGCACUCAAAUGUGAGCAGAAAUACAGCUUUUCAUGUAAACUAAGUGAAGAAGGGUCUUGCUUUGUUGCCCAGCCUAGCGUGCAGUGGUGUGACUCUAGCUCACUACAGCCUCUGACCUCCCAGGCAUAAGUGAUCCUCCUGCCUCAGCCUCCCACCAUCAGGACUGCAGGGAUGCGCCACUACAAUCAGUGAAUAUUUUUAAAAUUUAUUUUUGUGCAGAGACCGGGCCUUACUAUGUUGCCCAGGCUGGUUUUAAACUAAUGGGCUCAAGCUAUCCUCCUGCCUUGGCUUCCCAAAGUGCUGGAACUGCAGGCAAGAGCCACCAUGCCCAGCUUCUUCUCUCUUUUAACUUUAUUUGUACAUUGCCUUAAUCUUUCAGAACAAUGUUUAACAAUGAACAUAAUAAUGGCUAUUUUAUGUAAUUUUUAAAUUAAAUUUUAAUUAAAAUUAUAAUUUUUAAAAAACAAUUACAAAUUAAAAUGCAACAGAUUGGUAGUUUUCAAGUAUAAUCUGUGAGAAUUUUGAGGAAAUUAGCAUCUUGUAAACAUAUCUAUGACCUCAUCAUGCUCCUAGUUCCCUGAUGGAGACACAUAACUAUGAUAGUAAACAGCCAGCGGAUUCAAGAAAAAGCAUCGGUUGCCAGUGAAUCUUGGAUGAACGGUACCCAUGCUGCAGGCAAUGAGUUCAGAAGAGCCUGGGAUAGAUCCUGUGGAAAACAUUUUUACUGAACAUUAUUCACACUGCAGUCUACAAAGAAGAAGGCUUGUCUGUCUGAGCUGUGGGGUCUGGUGGGCACAAGAAAAAAAGUCACUCACCACUCAAGAGAACCCAAUAGCUUGUAUGAACACUAAAGUAAACCAUCAAAAUCACACCAAGUCUAUUUCACACACACUGACAUGGCUACUAUAAAACAAAAUAACAAGUGUUGGUGAAGAGGCAAAGAAAUAGGAAUUCUUGUGCACGUUGGUAAGAAUGUAGAAUGGUACAGUCACUGUAGAAAACAGUAUGGAGGUUCUAUAGGAAACUAAAAAUGGAAUUACUAUGUGAUCCAUCAAUUACGUUUCUGGGUAAGUAAUUGAAGGCAGAGACUUGAAGAGAUAUAGUUGUAAGCCCAUGUUAAUAACAACAUUAUUUGCAAUAGCAAAAUAUGGAAGCAAUCUACAUGUGUAUCCAUGAAUGAAUGGAUAUGUGGUACAUAUAAUCCAUUAUGUAAUGUGGUAUAUACAUAAAAUGGAAUAUUAUUCAGCCUUAAAAAGCCAAUUCUGACACAUGUUACAACAUGUGUGUACUUUGAGGACAUUUUUAUAUUUGAGGACAUAUUUAUAUUUCUAUUGUGCAGAGUAGGGUAGUGACGAAAAGACAAAUACUCCAUGAUUCCACUUAUAUAAGACACCUAGAGUAAAAAAAGAAACACAGAGACAGAAAGUGAAAUGGUGGUUUUUAAGGGUUGGGGGAGGGAAGAAAGAAGAGUUAGAGUGUAAUGGGUACAGAAUUUCAGUUUUGCAAGAUGAAAAGAGCUCUUAAAUAGACUUUACCACAAUUUAAAAUAAAAAAAUCUAAAACUCACGGCAGGGACUUCUACCAAGGCAUAUUUAAUAGCAGAGAAAGACACGUUCUCAAAAAGAAACUACCAAAAAUUGUAAGGAAGGACUUGGAAUGGGGCAAUUUGAGGAUGUAAAGAACUGGGUCUAUUAAGACAAAAUUAUUUCAGAAAAAAAGCUUAAAUGAAUAAUAGAAUUGAGAUUUCUAGAAGCCAAAUAUGUGAUCUGAAAUAAGUGAGGUUAUCUCAAAAUACAGCAUGUAUUACUGUAUCGAUGGGCCUCUAGGCUCUGAAGGUAGACUGCCAGGUCUAAAAUUAAGCUCAGCCCUUAUCAGCAGCUAGCAUUAGUAUAUAACAUUAGUUGUUGAUGUUAUAUUCAAAUAAAAUUUAUUAUUAACACUAGUAAGCAAAAUGCAAAAAAUGAAUAUUGUGAGUGAAAAGACAAGCAAUGUGAAUGGAUUCAGGAAAUCUAGAUCCAAAGGUGAGUUCCAGAGAGAAACAGAUUGAGGAGAAACAAUAACAAAAAAUAAUAAUAAUAAUAAAAGACAAUUUCUGGGCUGAAGAACAAUUCAAAAUGUUAAGAUUGAAACACGUCCUGGUGACAUUUCUAAACUCCAAGUUUAAGAGAAAAUGUCACAAGCUUCCAGAAAUUGGAAGUUAUUUACUUACAAAGAAAGAAAAUCAUAUCAGUGUCAGGGCCCUCGCAACUGAAACAUUAAAUAUACAAAGCAGUGGAACAAACAAACAAAAACAAAGAAAACAUAAAUAAAUAAAAAGAAGAAACAAAAUAAAACGAAGAACAAAGAGACAAAACAGGUGAUCUUAGGACCAAUACCCAAGCCAUCAUAUCAUUUAUCUGUUAACUACAAAGAUUUAAGCUCUGUAUUGUGGCCUUGUCCUUUUGGAGUGUUUGUCAUUUUCUUCUGCUACAGAAUCCUGUCUACAAAAAAAUCACACUCGUUUUGCUAAUAUUUGUUGCACUUUCAGUGUUUGAAGAAUCAUUAUAUUCCCCCUCAAAUACUCCUCCUAAAUGUAAUUGUCAUAAUAUUCUAGAAAACCCAAAAGUAUAGAGAUGAUAAAGCUAUCAGUGACUGUCAGUGGUCCAGGAGUAUGGGAAGAUAACUGAAUAGGUGAGCAACAGGGGAUUUCUUUAGAGCAGUGACACUUUUCUGUAUAAUACUGUAAUGCUAAGCUCAAGAUACUAAGCAUUUGUCAAAACUCAUACAACUUAACAGCAUGUUAUGCCAUUAAAAGUAAGCCAUUUAAAAAGAUCAUUUAGGAGUUUUGAAGUAUGCCAGGAAGAAAUGCAGAAUCUGACCAAUCAAUGCAAAUGUAUUACAAAUGUAUGAAAAAACCUCAUAGACGGAUGAGUGGAAAUAAGAUAUUGACCUAGGAAAAUGGGGAAAUGAGAUGGAGUCUGUAAAACUAAAGGGAAAAGGAACUGCACGUAAGCACUGUACUCUGGUUACUAAAGCUGUUUUCUACAGGGGUAUAGGUCUACAAUUCUGAAAGCACUAUCCAUGUCUACAAAAAUUAAAUGACUAAUUAAAUGGUUAGGGGAUGGAACCAUUUUAAUGGAAUGUUAUAUAGAAACCAGGUUUCUCACUGUUGGAGUGAAAGAUUACAGUUAAGCUAAUGGAGAAGACUGGAAUGAUCCCUGUGGUAAUAGACUGUAGUUGGAAAUAAUAUAAAAUUGUAUUUAGAUCAAUUUAGAUACAGAUGAUUGCAUAUACAAAUAUUUAUAGAUAUGUGUAUAUUCACGGAUCUCUACAUAGACUCAGGUCUCUUAGCUCUGUCAGCUGAGAAGCCCAGCAAGCAACACAGUGCUCAGUUGUCGCUUCUAGUAUUAUUCUCCAACAAAAGCACCAGUGGUCUUUGGAGAAAUGGCUGAUUCUAGGACUUGGUCUUGCAAUCUACAAGAGCCUGGGACAUCUUGUAGGGCUGAAGUCAGAAAGUGGUUAAAUAAAUAAAUUCCCACAAUAACGGGGAUACAUCAGGUGAUACAGGUGCUGAGAGCUGUGCCCAAAGCUGGAACAACUUGAGCAACAAAACAAAUAGAGUACUAUUGAAUUAUAACCCACAUUACAAGAUAAAUAUGAAUGAGCCCAUACUAAUAUAAAUAAAUGGUUGAAUAAAGAAAUAAAUGGGAGAAUAGAUAAAUAUCCCAUGCUAAAGAAUUCUAAAUGAUUUACAUAGAUACUCCACCCUUACGGAGGUGGACCAUGAUUUCUCACUCCUUGAGCGUGGGCUGCACACAGUGGAUUUCUUCUGAAAAGCACAGUAAGGAAAUAAGGGACAGCAACUUUCCAGGGAUAUGGGAAGGAACUUGACAACUUUAUCAAGUCUGGUGAUUAAAGUUACUAUCAACCAUGACCUUGCAUUUUGAUACUACGGACUCUUGACAUGAUGUGAUAACAAUGGGACUUCUGUGGUCUUAUUCUCCAACAUAUUACCCCAAUCUAUUCAUUUUAAAAAAAGCAUCAGAUUAAAUACCAAUUAAUGGGCAUUCUAAAAAAUACCUGAUCAGUAUGCCUUAAAACUCUCAUGAUCACCAAAAACAGGAAAAGACUGGGAAACUGUCACAACCAGCAGGAGGCUAGGAAGGCCUGAGUACUACAACAGAAAAUGACAUUAGUCUAAAACCAAGGAAAUCUGGAUAAGGUAUGGACUCAGUUACUAACAGCGGACAAUAUUGGUUCAUCAAUUGUGACAAAUGUACUAUUCUAAUGUAAGAUGUUAAUAACAGGGGAAAAUGAGUGUGAGGUAUACAGGAACUCCCUGUACUAUCUUUGCAAUAAUUACCUCAAUCUGAAACUGUUCUAAAAUAAGGCAGUUAAUUAAAUAAAUUUGUAAAAGCUGCAAAGCUGCUCUCUCUAU